CCUACGGGUGGCAGCAGUGAGGAAUAUUGGUCAAUGGACGAGAGUCUGAACCAGCCAAGUAGCGUGAAGGAUGACUGCCCUAUGGGUUGUAAACUUCUUUUAUAUGGGAAUAAAAUGUUCCACGUGUGGGAUUUUGUAUGUACCAUAUGAAUAAGGAUCGGCUAACUCCGUGCCAGCAGCCGCGGUAAUACGGAGGAUCCGAGCGUUAUCCGGAUUUAUUGGGUUUAAAGGGAGCGUAGGUGGAUUGUUAAGUCAGUUGUGAAAGUUUGCGGCUCAACCGUAAAAUUGCAGUUGAAACUGGCAGUCUUGAGUACAGUAGAGGUGGGCGGAAUUCGUGGUGUAGCGGUGAAAUGCUUAGAUAUCUCGAAGAACUCCGAGUGCGAAGGCAGUUCACUGGACUGCAACUGACACUGAGGCUCGAAAGUGUGGGUAUCAAACAGGAUUAGAUACCCCUGUAGUC
Molecule: ribosomal RNA, 460 nt
Filed under: uncultured bacterium
Lineage: Bacteria
Description: partial 16S ribosomal RNA
Rfam family: Bacterial small subunit ribosomal RNA
Source: RNAcentral